Molecule: ribosomal RNA, 464 nt
Filed under: uncultured bacterium
Lineage: Bacteria
Description: partial 16S ribosomal RNA
Rfam family: Bacterial small subunit ribosomal RNA
Source: RNAcentral
GACGAACGCUGGCGGCGUGCUUAACACAUGCAAGUCGAACGGAAAGGCCCUGCUUGCAGGGUACUCGAGUGGCGAACGGGUGAGUAACACGUGGGUGAUCUGCCCCGCACUUCGGGAUAAGCCUGGGAAACUGGGUCUAAUACCGGAUAGGAGCCAUUUUUAGUGUGAUGGUUGGAAAGUUUUUCGGUGUAGGAUGAGCUCGCGGCCUAUCAGCUUGUUGGUGGGGUAAUGGCCUACCAAGGCGGCGACGGGUAGCCGGCCUGAGAGGGUGGACGGCCACAUUGGGACUGAGAUACGGCCCAGACUCCUACGGGAGGCAGCGGUGGGGAAUAUUGCACAAUGGGCGCAAGCCUGAUGCAGCGACGCCGCGUGGGGGAUGACGGCCUUCGGGUUGUAAACUCCUUUCGCUAGGGACGAAGCUUUUUGUGACGGUACCUAGAUAAGAAGCACCGGCUAACUACGUG